This 263-nucleotide ribosomal RNA is filed under the name uncultured bacterium. RNAcentral describes it as "partial 16S ribosomal RNA". It matches the Rfam family "Bacterial small subunit ribosomal RNA", at positions 793 to 1055 of the family's 1533-position model. The record is from RNAcentral.
GUCCACGCCCUAAACGAUGUCUACUAGUUGUCGGGUCUUAAUUGACUUGGUAACGCAGCUAACGCGUGAAGUAGACCGCCUGGGGAGUACGGUCGCAAGAUUAAAACUCAAAGGAAUUGACGGGGACCCGCACAAGCGGUGGAUGAUGUGGAUUAAUUCGAUGCAACGCGAAAACCUUACCUACCCUUGACAUGUACGGAAUCCUGAAGAGAUUUAGGAGUGCUCGAAAGAGAGCCGUAACACAGGUGCUGCAUGGCUGUCGU